This 472-nucleotide ribosomal RNA is filed under the name uncultured bacterium. RNAcentral's name for it is "bacterial SSU rRNA". It matches the Rfam family "Bacterial small subunit ribosomal RNA", at positions 355 to 825 of the family's 1533-position model. The record is from RNAcentral.
UGGGGAAUAUUGGACAAUGGGGGAAACCCUGAUCCAGCGACGCCGCGUGUGUGAAGAAGGCCUGCGGGUUGUAAAGCACUUUCGGUGGGAACGAAAUAUGCCGGGCUAAUACCCCGGUAGGCUGACGUUACUCAAUGAAGAAGCACCGGCUAACUCUGUGCCAGCAGCCGCGGUAAUACAGAGGGUGCGAGCGUUAAUCGGAAUUACUGGGCGUAAAGCGCACGUAGGCGGAUUUGUUAGUCAGGGGUGAAAUCCCGGGGCUCAACCUUGGAACUGCCUCUGAUACUGCAAAUCUCGAGUCCGAUAGAGGUGAGUGGAAUUCGUAGUGUAGAGGUGAAAUUCGUAGAUAUUAGGAAGAACACCAGUGGCGAAGGCGGCUCACUGGAUCGGUACUGACGCUGAGGUGCGAAAGCGUGGGGAGCAAACAGGAUUAGAUACCCGUGUAGUCCCUGAGCGGGCUGGCAAGGCGCAU